Molecule: long non-coding RNA, 913 nt
Filed under: Mus musculus (house mouse)
Lineage: Eukaryota; Metazoa; Chordata; Mammalia; Rodentia; Muridae
Description: long non-coding RNA chr17:57166874-57167787
Source: RNAcentral
GGGGAGGGGGUGGGGGAGGGGGUGGGGGAGGGGAAGCGGGGAGGCAGGGAGGUGGGAUGGCAGGAAGGCAGAGCAAUGGCCUUAAUAUAAGCAGUGGAACCAGGAACACUGGAAUCAGUGGGGUGACUGUAGCCGUUUUUUUCUUUCCAUUGCCCAAGGGAGGGUGUGGGUUUUCCAACCCUCAUAGGUGUCCCCUUUUGUUGACAAGAUGACAACAACCGGCACUGUUUGUCCCAGCAGGGAGCUCAACGGCCUACAGCAGCUCUGUCUGUGACAGGGAGAGCUGUUCCCAGCAGACACCAAAGAGAGAGAACUUUGGGAGCGCAGCAAGCAAGCCCCAUUCCCAGCCAGGCAUUCUGCAAAUGCUCCGUCCAGCAGCGCCACCUGCCGGCCACAUCCAAGCGCAUUCCCUUCCUCCCUUACCAGCUUCUAUUAAAAAAUGUCUUAGUGUGGAUCUGAGUUCAAGGCCAACCUAAUCUACAGAGUGAGUUCCAGGACAGCCAGGGCUAUAUAGAGAAACCCUGUCUUGUAAAACCAUCCAUCCAUCCAUCCAUCCAUCCAUCCAUCCAUCCAUUCAACCAACCAACUAACCAACCACUUACCCACCCACCCAACCAGAAAGUCUUAGUGUGUUGGUAUGCAUGCAUUUGCAUAUACAUGUGUGUGUAUGUGUGCAGACAAAUGUGUGCAUGUGUUCUUGUGUUUGGGGUGCAUGGUUAUGUGCAUGUACAGCUAUAGGUCAAUGCUGGGUAUCUUCCUGUACUGCUCUCCAUCUUGGUUCUGUGUAUGUGUGUAUGUGUGCAGACGAAUGUGUGCAUGUGUUCUUGUGUUUGGGGUGAAUGGUUAUGUGCAUGUACAGCUAUAGGUCAAUGCUGGGUAUCUUCCUGUACUGCUCUCCAUCUUGGUUCAGGUU